This 253-nucleotide ribosomal RNA is filed under the name uncultured bacterium. RNAcentral's name for it is "partial 16S ribosomal RNA". It matches the Rfam family "Bacterial small subunit ribosomal RNA", at positions 524 to 776 of the family's 1533-position model. The record is from RNAcentral.
GACGUAGGGGGCGAGCGUUGUCCGGAUUCAUUGGGCGUAAAGCGCGCGUAGGCGGCCCGGUAAGUCGGAUGUGAAAUCUCACGGCUCAACCGUGGAACUGCAUUCGAAACUGUCGGGCUAGAGGCAGGUAGGGGAGAUCGGAAUUCCCGGUGUAGCGGUGAAAUGCGCAGAUAUCGGGAGGAACACCGGUGGCGAAGGCGGAUCUCUGGGCCGAUACUGACGCUGAGAAGCGAAAGCGUGGGGAGCGAACAGG